CCCUUAGAUGUCCUGGGCUGCACGCGCGCUACACUGGAAGUUACGGAUUGAGAUACUACCUUGUCCGAAAUGGUCCGGGUAAUCACCUAAAAGCUUGUCAUAAUUGGAAUGGAUUAUUGUAACUAGUAAUCCUGAACGAGGAAUUCCUAGUAAGUCCCAGUCAACAGCUGGUACUGAUUAUGUCCCUGCCCUUUGUACACACCGCCCGUCGCUACUACUGAUUGGACGUUUAAGCAAGAUUUUUAAACACUGACAGUGUGUAGUUCACGCUAUACUACAGUGAGAAGAAGAAGAUCGAGCUUACUUGUCUAGAGGAAGUAAAAGUCGUAACA
This 332-nucleotide ribosomal RNA is filed under the name uncultured eukaryote. RNAcentral describes it as "partial 18S ribosomal RNA". It matches the Rfam family "Eukaryotic small subunit ribosomal RNA", at positions 1470 to 1796 of the family's 1831-position model. The record is from RNAcentral.